GAUGAACGCUGGCGGCGUGCUUAACACAUGCAAGUCGAACGGUGAACACGGAGCUUGCUCUGUGGGAUCAGUGGCGAACGGGUGAGUAACACGUGAGCAACCUGCCCCUGACUCUGGGAUAAGCGCUGGAAACGGCGUCUAAUACUGGAUACGAGUAGCGACCGCAUGGUCAGUUACUGGAAAGAUUUAUUGGUUGGGGAUGGGCUCGCGGCCUAUCAGCUUGUUGGUGAGGUAAUGGCUCACCAAGGCGUCGACGGGUAGCCGGCCUGAGAGGGUGACCGGCCACACUGGGACUGAGACACGGCCCAGACUCCUACGGGAGGCAGCAGUGGGGAAUAUUGCACAAUGGGCGCAAGCCUGAUGCAGCAACGCCGCGUGAGGGAUGACGGCCUUCGGGUUGUAAACCUCUUUUAGCAGGGAAGAAGCGAAAGUGACGGUACCUGCAGAAAAAGCGCCGGC
Molecule: ribosomal RNA, 459 nt
Filed under: bacterium Ellin305
Lineage: Bacteria; Bacillati; Actinomycetota; Actinomycetes; Micrococcales; Microbacteriaceae
Description: bacterial SSU rRNA
Rfam family: Bacterial small subunit ribosomal RNA
Source: RNAcentral